AUACUUAGUGGCAGACGGGUGAGUAACAUGUGGGUAUCUGCCCUUUGGCCUGGAAUAACACGAGGAAACUUGUGCUAAUACCAGAUAAGUCUUUACGGAGAAAGCUUUAUGCACCAUUGGAUGAGCCCGCACUUGAUUAGUUUGUUGGUGGGGUAAUGGCCUACCAAGACUUUGAUCAAUAGCUGAUUUGAGAGGAUGAUCAGCCACAUUGGGACUGAGACACGGCCCAAACUCCUACGGGAGGCAGCAGUGGGGAAUCUUGCACAAUGGAGGAAACUCUGAUGCAGCGAUGCCGCGUGAGUGAAGAAGGCCCUUGGGUUGUAAAGCUCUUUCGUCGGGGAAGAAAAUGACUGUACCCGAAUAAGAAGGUCCGGCUAACUUCGUGCCAGCAGCCGCGGUAAUACGAAGGGACCUAGCGUAGUUCGGAAUUACUGGGCUUAAAGAGUUCGUAGGUGGUUGAAAAAGUUGGUGGUGAAAUCCCAGAGCUUAACUCUGGAACUGCCAUCAAAACUUUUCAGCUAGAGUUUGAUAGAGGAAAGCAGAAUUUCUAGUGUAGAGGUGAAAUUCGUAGAUAUUAGAAAGAAUACCAAUUGCGAAGGCAGCUUUCUGGAUCAUUACUGACACUGAGGAACGAAAGCAUGGGUAGCGA
This 649-nucleotide ribosomal RNA is filed under the name uncultured marine bacterium. RNAcentral describes it as "bacterial SSU rRNA". It matches the Rfam family "Bacterial small subunit ribosomal RNA", at positions 88 to 771 of the family's 1533-position model. The record is from RNAcentral.